This 270-nucleotide ribosomal RNA is filed under the name uncultured Anoxybacillus sp. RNAcentral's name for it is "partial 16S ribosomal RNA". It matches the Rfam family "Bacterial small subunit ribosomal RNA", at positions 1111 to 1382 of the family's 1533-position model. The record is from RNAcentral. Lineage: Bacteria; Bacillati; Bacillota; Bacilli; Caryophanales; Anoxybacillaceae.
CUAGUUGCCAGCAUUCAGUUGGGCACUCUAAGGUGACUGCCGGCUAAAAGUCGGAGGAAGGUGGGGAUGACGUCAAAUCAUCAUGCCCCUUAUGACCUGGGCUACACACGUGCUACAAUGGGCGGUACAAAGGGUCGCGAACCCGCGAGGGGGAGCCAAUCCCAAAAAGCCGCUCUCAGUUCGGAUUGCAGGCUGCAACUCGCCUGCAUGAAGCCGGAAUCGCUAGUAAUCGCGGAUCAGCAUGCCGCGGUGAAUACGUUCCCGGGCCUU